Malurus melanocephalus (red-backed fairy wren) is the source of this 612-nucleotide long non-coding RNA. RefSeq lists it as uncharacterized. The transcript has 3 exons. NCBI's taxonomy places the organism in Eukaryota, Metazoa, Chordata, Aves, Passeriformes, Maluridae. The record is from RefSeq and is a predicted model, not a curated record.
UCACCUAAUUGAAGGUUGCAAUAUGAAACUUCUGUGUAUUAGACAACUGAAAAUCUGUGCUCAAAAGCAGUGAAUAGCAAGCCAUUAAAAAAUCUUCAGUUGAUGAAUUUAUCUUCUGCACAAGGAGCSAACAUAAGCAGUUUUGCUGCUCACAGAAUGUCCAGAUUUAUACAUGUAUUUUUUUCAUGAGGCCAGUACCUGGAAUUCUUGUGCCUGGAAUUGACUCAUAUCUAGUAAAUGCUAUAAAUGUCUGUUAUGCCAUCAGUGGCACAGAAGAAUACGACAUCAUCUAUACCCUGUGCUGCUCAGAAGAUGUGUUCUCUGAGAAUUGUGGUCUACAGAUGGAGCAGGAAGGCUGAAGGCAUGGAUACAUCUGAACAAGACACGCACCUUAUUCAGUGAAUUACUAAUARCUCAUUGAUUGCCUUGCUACAGCAGUGACAAAACAGUAACAGAGAGCAGAACUAACUCCCAUAUCGGGUAACAUACACACACUCGCUGGUCCUUUAACACACUGCUCUCCUCCUUUCUCGUAAAAUCUUUUUUUCCAUCUUUAAAUAUUACAUGUUUUUCCCUUAUGAAUAAUAGUUUGUUUACAGUGUGRUAUCUUAA